RNAcentral lists this ribosomal RNA (982 nucleotides) under uncultured prokaryote. Its description in RNAcentral is "bacterial SSU rRNA". It matches the Rfam family "Bacterial small subunit ribosomal RNA", at positions 51 to 1040 of the family's 1533-position model. The record is from RNAcentral.
GUACCAUGCAGUCGGACGGUAGCACAGAGAAGCUUGUUCCUCGGGUGACGAGUGGCGCACGGGUGAGUAGUGUGGGGAGAUCUGCCAGAUAGAGGGGUAUAACCAGUGGAAACGGUGGCUAAUACCGUAUAGCCUCAAGAGACCAAAGAGGGGGACCUUCGGGCCUCUCUCUAUCAGAUGAACCCAUAUGGUAUUAUCUAGUGCGGGGGGUAGCGGCCCCCCUGCGACACUAUCCCUAUGUGGUCUGAGAGGAUGACCAGCCACUGUGGAUCUGACACACGGUCCACACUCCUACGGGGGGCAGCUGUGGAAAAUAUUGCACAGUGGGCGCGCGCGUGAUGCACCCGUGCCGCGUGUAUGAAAAGGGUCUUCGGUUUGUAGAGUAUUUUCCGCGGAGAAGAGGGCUGUGGGGUUAAUACCCUUAGUGAUUGAUUUUCCCCGGAAAAGAAGCCCCGGAUAUCUCCGUGCCCGCACCCGCGGUAAUGCAGAGGGUGCACGCGUUAAUCAGAUUUAGUGGGUGUAAAGCACACGGGGGCGCUGUGAUAACUCAUAUGUGAACUCCCCGGUCUUACUGUGGACUCUGCAUUAGAAUCUGGCGCGUUUGACUCUCGUAGAGGGGGUAUAGUAUUACGUGUGUAGCGGAGAUGUGCAUAGAUAUCUAGAAGUACAGGUGUGGAGAACGCCGCCCUGUGCAAGACACUGACUCUCGUGUGAAAAGCGUGGGGCGCACACGAGAAUAUAUACUGUGAUACUACACGCCAUACACUAUGUCGAUGUGGAUGGUGUUCUUGAGAAGAGUGUCCCCGGCUCACACGCGAAACUCCACCGCGUGGAGUGUACGGCGCGGUAUAACUCUCAUGUGUUUCACGGGCCGCGCACGCGCUGUGCGCGUGUGUAUAUCUCUAUGCACGCGAAACCAUAUCUACUCGAGAUCUACACAAACUCGGCAGAUAUGCUUAGUGCUCUCGGAACGUGACACGUG